Molecule: non-coding RNA, 1402 nt
Organism: Ictidomys tridecemlineatus (thirteen-lined ground squirrel)
Lineage: Eukaryota; Metazoa; Chordata; Mammalia; Rodentia; Sciuridae
Source: RefSeq, a predicted model, not a curated record
CCUCUAUUAGGAAAAGGAGUCAGCAAGUGGCAGCACAAAUAAGUCUCAGGAAAGAGUCAUUUGAAAAAUAAAGGCAGUGAAGAUAUAUGAAACCUUUAUCCACAAAAUGACACCACUAACUAGGAAUGUUCCUCUCAUGGCACCUGGAAAAAGUAUGAAAAGUCAAGCUGUUUUGGAAAGACCUGGAAUAGAAAUCAUUGACAAAGGCAGAAGGCUAGAUUCAAGGAGCACAGCAACAUGAACCCCGCCUCACCCCUGAAAAGCCUCUGACACUGAUGACCAUUGCUUAAUAGAGGAAAUGAAAUUUCCCUUAAACAUAACUCAUUGACCUGAAGACAGCCAAAGAGCUCAUGACCAAAUUGAGGAUUAAGUUCUGCCGGAAGAUCUCUUCAACCAUUACAGACCUCAAGGGAAAGUACUGUAGCAAAUGUGCUCAGCAUGCAGUAAUCCUGCAUUGGUCAUGAAGCAGGAGAAAUAGCCCUUCUCCCAGCUGAAAUCUCAAAGGGAGGUCAAGCUCUUGUUAUAUUACUAUGGUGAUAGCACUGGUAGAGGGUAGCAGCCCACAGUGAACAAGGGGCAAUAAAGUUUCCCUGAUCCCAGGAACAUGGGAACUAAGUUCAUUCACUCCCAAGGAACGAUAAACUCCUAAAGAGUUUUCCUUUAAUAUGGGAGGUUCAUUUACUGUUUCAUUAAGUGAGUACCGCCCAUUGAGUUAGGCUAUUUUUACUCAGGGCGCACAGAUACCAUUUGAUUUCACUGUCUAGAAAAAAAAGUGAACAACAAAGAUCGGUAAUCAGACUCAGAACCAAGUAAUGUCUGUGCUUUGUUAAGUAUGAAGAAAAACAGAAAAUUUCAAGCAAGCAAAUAUGACUUCAGACAAUAGAAUGGCUUUUUUUUCCUUGUGGUGCCCAUGAGAAGUGCAUUUGCUCAUUACCCAUACUAGGAAAUAUCAAUUGCAACCUGUCACUUUGAUAAGAGUAACUAUUUGUUGCACUCAAGCAAAUCAUCUCUUUUUAAAAGAUUUUGAAUAGAAAAAUGCCACAAACAUGUAUGGAAUUUAAAAUACUGUAUUUUAGUACAUUGAUUUUGAGAAUAGCUGUUUAAGGAUAUCCAAUGAAUUGUAAUAAUUAUCAUAGAUAUAAUCUUAUAAGAUGGUAUCUACUUUGAGUUUUGGAGAAGAAGCGAGUGUUUCUGCAAACAUUUUUUCCCCCUGUAAUUGAAAUGUUAUUUACCUCUUCCUAACAGAGUGGAAUGUAUGGAAUGGUAUUUAAAGGUGAUGCUGAAUUUUCAUCUGCUCUGUGCUGGCUGUGCGUAUCUCUGAUGACCUCCUCUUUUUUCUUAGAUGGAAUAAAGGGACAAACACAAAUAUCCAGUGUUUUCAUAUAAAAUGUCAUUCAUCACA